UACGGAGGGUGCAAGCGUUAUCCGGAUUCACUGGGUUUAAAGGGUGCGUAGGCGGGUUGGUAAGUCAGUGGUGAAAUCUUCAAGCUUAACUUGGAAACUGCCGUUGAUACUAUCAAUCUUGAAUAUUGUGGAGGUAAGCGGAAUAUGUCAUGUAGCGGUGAAAUGCUUAGAUAUGACACAGAACACUGAUUGCGAAGGCAGCUCACUAAACUGUAACUGACGCUGAGGCACGAAAGCGUGGGGAGCAAACAGG
This 253-nucleotide ribosomal RNA is filed under the name uncultured bacterium. RNAcentral's name for it is "partial 16S ribosomal RNA". It matches the Rfam family "Bacterial small subunit ribosomal RNA", at positions 524 to 776 of the family's 1533-position model. The record is from RNAcentral.